UGGGGAAUAUUGGACAAUGGGCGCAAGCCUGAUCCAGCAAUGCCGCGUGAGUGAAGAAGGCCUUAGGGUUGUAAAGCUCUUUCGGCGGGGACGAUGAUGACGGUACCCGCAGAAGAAGCCCCGGCUAACUCCGUGCCAGCAGCCGCGGUAAUACGGAGGGGGCUAGCGUUGUUCGGAAUUACUGGGCGUAAAGGGCGCGUAGGCGGCGCGAUAAGUUGGGCGUGAAAGGCCCGGGCUCAACCCGGGGACUGCGCUUGAUACUGUCGCGCUGUGAGUCCGGGAGAGGAUGGCGGAAUUCCCAGUGUAGAGGUGAAAUUCGUAGAUAUUGGGAAGAACACCGGUGGCGAAGGCGGCCAUCUGGACCGGCACUGACGCUGAGGCGCGAAAGCGUGGGGAGCAAACAG
Molecule: ribosomal RNA, 404 nt
Filed under: uncultured bacterium
Lineage: Bacteria
Description: bacterial SSU rRNA
Rfam family: Bacterial small subunit ribosomal RNA
Source: RNAcentral